UUUGCCCCGAGACUCAGCCACUCCACUAUGAGGCCUGUGUCUGAAAGCAGGGGAGAGUGGCCAGAACACGACCUCUAGAAUGAUAUUCAUAGCAGUUUCAUUCAUUCUAUCCCCAAACUGGAAGCCUGCCGGCACCUACCCCUAGGAGAGGGUCUAAAGCAGCGUGUUAAGCAGAGAAAGGAGAUAUGUAGAGCACACUAGCUGCCUGUGAUCCCACCACUGACCUUCAGUAGCAGGCCAGGCCAACCAUGGUGACAGAGGUCAGAACAGUGAGCCUCUCUGGGCAAGGGGCAGGACUGGCUGGAGGGCAGCUCAGGGACCUUUCUGAGGUGAGGGACUGCUCCGUGUCUGCAGGGGACAUCGGUCACACAGAGGCCUGCACCUUUCCCAGUUUCAACCCAGGGUAUACCUGGGCUGCGCAUGUCCUGUCAGUUAAACCUCCACACAAAAGCAAAAGCAAUUAACCAAUUUGAUGCACGACACUUCUUCAUUUCUUCAUUGUUGCUCUAAUAAAUUAUCACAGUUAGUGGCUUAAAACAAGGGACAUCCAUUCUCUUACACUCUGGAGUCAGAGGUCCAAAAUGGCUCCCCCUGGCUGAAAGCACACACAUCAGGUGGCCCUCCUUGCUGGAAGCCAGGGGAGGCCCGCGGACUCACUGUUGUCCUCUACUUUUUGGCUCCUGGCCCCCUCCAUCUUCAAGGCUGGUGGGGGCAGGUGGCGUGUCUCUCACAGUGUGACUCUUUCUCUGCGUCUCCUGUCUGCUGGAAAGACAACACAAAGACACCAGGGAAACAGAGUAGGCACCCCACCUGAAGGUCAGCGGAUCGAGGACCUUCAUUCCUCCGCCCUGACACACGGCAUCUUCAUGGUUGCAGGGAUGAGGGAGGACACUCUUGAGGCCAUUAUCCUGCCCACGCUGUGGGAAAAGGUCAAGUAGGGGACACACAUGCGGGAGUCUCACUGGGAAGGCAGAGGCUGGGAGAGAUGGCAACAUACUCUGUCUCUAUCUGGGCUGUGGCUACAAGGGCAUAUUAAUUUUUUAAAUCAAGAUCAGGCUGUGCAUAUAAAAUUUAUGUACCCUACAUACAACGUGUAUCAGUAAGAAUAUUUUUGGAGGAGAUUUAUGCUUUUAAUCACCAUGUUUGUAAAUCAUUCAGCACAUCCUGAAUAGAGAAUGGACGUUUGAACUCAUUUGCCCAAAACUGGAAAUUUCCAAACUUAGGUUAUCAGUGAUGCAGGAAA
RNAcentral lists this long non-coding RNA (1243 nucleotides) under Marmota monax (woodchuck). Lineage: Eukaryota; Metazoa; Chordata; Mammalia; Rodentia; Sciuridae. The record is from RNAcentral.